Molecule: long non-coding RNA, 1693 nt
Organism: Stegostoma tigrinum
Lineage: Eukaryota; Metazoa; Chordata; Chondrichthyes; Orectolobiformes; Stegostomatidae
Exons: 3
Source: RefSeq, a predicted model, not a curated record
GUUUGUCUGAAAAUCACGUGAUCGUCUUUGUCCGGAGACGCAAUAUCUCUGCGACUGAAGGUUAGCUGCUUGCCGAAAGUACAGUACACGGGACAAAAAGGAAAGCUGCAAAAAAACGGGAGGGAAAUACUUUCGGUAUUGACUGAGAGGCUUUAAUAGCCGUUGAUGCAUGUCAGAAAACAAAUUUUAACAUGCCGGCCCCGUGUUUUGCAGGAAACGGAAAAACUGCUGCGGACCUGAGGCUGCGAUAGGCAGAGGAUAUUUAUUGAGAAUAAUUUGCAGACCAGGAUCACAAAGCAAGUUCUCCAUUAAGCGGAGUGAUCAGGAUCUGAGUAUCAUUGACACUUAACUGGGAAAGGGAAGAGGUUUAACCAUUCUAUGCGUGGGAGAAUAUUCCUGGACUCUUUUAUACCCCCACAGGACCUUUUGUGAUCUAAUCCAGUAACAGUGUGAGCUGCUACAAUGCACGUGCUAGUAAAAGCAUAAGAGGACAGAUGAGAUGAGUGCAUGGCUGGAGCUAUAACUUAAAAGGUUUGGAUUCCUGAGGCAUUGAGACUUUGUUUGUUUCUGGGGAAGGUGGGACAUGCACAAGCUUGAACAAUUGUCCUGGGCAGAGCUGGGACAGAUAUUCUUGUUGAUGCUUUUGCUAGUUCCACUGGUGAGGAUUUAAACUCGUAUGACAGGGGAAUGGGAACCAAAGUAUACCUUUAGCAGUAAAAGACUCAAAUCAGCAAAUGGGACGUGAAAUUAGUUCAUGAUGUUUUCGGUGGCUGAAAGAUUAAAAGAAAGAAGGAUUAAUCAAGAUCAAAUCGCUUUUCAUACAUCAGUCCUGUGAUCCCAGGAAUUGGUCUGGUGAACCUUCUUUACGAUCAUUCAGUAGCCAGGGCAUCCUUCCUCUGGAAAGGAGAACAAAGGUGCACACGACUCCAGGUGUGGUCUCACCAAGGCCCUUAUAGAAAGAUAUCCCUCUUCCUGUACUCGAAUCCUCUCAAUGAAGGCCGAAAUAUCAUUUGCAUUCUUCACUACUUGCUGCUGCCUGUUUUCUAAAAGAGAACAGGAGAGAAACACGGAACUAAAUGGGGUCAGACACUCGGGUAAAAUUGUUGAACACAAUGUCCCCAUUGUAUCGGUGCUGGCCAUCAAGCACCUAUUGAAGCUAGGCCCAUUUUCUGGCACUUGGUGUGUAACCUGUAUUAUGGUGCAAUGGAUGAUCAUCUCAACACUUCUUCAAGAUUGCAAUGGUUCCUGCAUCUAUCACCAUUUCAGAUGCUGCCAGAUCUGCUGUGUAUCUCCAUCUUUUUCUGUUUUUAUUUCAGAUUUCAGGUAUUUUGCUGCAUCUUAGUCCUUCAGAAGCAUCAAAGGGUAUGGGGAGAAAACAGGAAUUGGAUUCAUUUUCAGAUGUAUAAAAUGCAUGUCUGUCCAAACUAUCUCUUUUUGUAGUUUUGGGCAAACGCUGAAUGUUUCCCUUCCCUGAAGGACAUUUAAUGAACCAGUUCAGUUUUACUGAUAAUCCAGCUGUGGCCCUAAGUGUUGGAUCCACAAUUGACCAGAUUUAUUUCUGAGUUUCACAAUCUUUAUGUGUGUUCUUCUGGUUUCUCUCUCUCUGCUUUUCUGUUUGAAAUUUUGAUUGCAUUCAGAGAAAUCAAACAAAACCACACCCAGAUCUGACACUCAAUCUGUUUGUCAUAACCUA